UACGAAGGGGGCUAGCGUUGUUCGGAAUUACUGGGCGUAAAGCGCGCGCAGGCGGUUUUCCAAGUCAGUGGUGAAAGCCCGGAGCUCAACUCCGGAACUGCCAUUGAAACUGUAAAACUUGAGGACGAGAGAGGUGAGUGGAAUUCCCAGUGUAGAGGUGAAAUUCGUAGAUAUUGGGAAGAACACCGGUGGCGAAGGCGGCGUUCUGGACUGUUUCUGACACUGAGGAACGAAAGCCAGGGGAGCAAACGGG
This 253-nucleotide ribosomal RNA is filed under the name uncultured bacterium. RNAcentral describes it as "partial 16S ribosomal RNA". It matches the Rfam family "Bacterial small subunit ribosomal RNA", at positions 524 to 776 of the family's 1533-position model. The record is from RNAcentral.